UAUAGUCAGGCUGCUGUUAUCUGCUUUUGUAUUAAUUCUUGCUUGCUGUGCCAUCAUUUACCAUUUGAAAGGAAAGGACAUCAGAGCGUCUGGAGGCAGAGGAUGACCAGCUGCACUGGUAGUGCGUGAGUUGAUAACGUUCCAGCCACUAGGUGUCAGUAGAAUACCACCUCUUGACUUUUGGAGAAAACGUUAUACUAUGGAAAUCCGGAAAAUUAAAUCUGAAGGCUGUUGAUUUUUGGAACUCGCUUAAUGUUUUGCCAUUUCUGUAAAUAAACUUGAC
Non-coding RNA from Pelobates cultripes (western spadefoot toad), 283 nucleotides. NCBI's taxonomy places the organism in Eukaryota, Metazoa, Chordata, Amphibia, Anura, Pelobatidae. The record is from the annotation of a GenBank genome assembly.